UACGGAGGGGGUUAGCGUUGUUCGGAAUUACUGGGCGUAAAGCGCGCGUAGGCGGACCAGAAAGUUGGGGGUGAAAUCCCGGGGCUCAACCCCGGAACGGCCUCCGAAACUCCUGGUCUUGAGUUCGAGAGAGGUGAGUGGAAUUCCGAGUGUAGAGGUGAAAUUCGUAGAUAUUCGGAGGAACACCAGUGGCGAAGGCGGCUCACUGGCUCGAUACUGACGCUGAGGUGCGAAAGUGUGGGGAGCAAACAGG
This 253-nucleotide ribosomal RNA is filed under the name uncultured bacterium. RNAcentral's name for it is "partial 16S ribosomal RNA". It matches the Rfam family "Bacterial small subunit ribosomal RNA", at positions 524 to 776 of the family's 1533-position model. The record is from RNAcentral.